Long non-coding RNA from Oryzias melastigma (Indian medaka), 1012 nucleotides. RefSeq lists it as uncharacterized. Lineage: Eukaryota; Metazoa; Chordata; Actinopteri; Beloniformes; Adrianichthyidae. The record is from RefSeq and is a predicted model, not a curated record. The transcript has 3 exons.
UGACGAGCGCGGAGGGAUACAGUUCCAACUCGUGCUCGUAGCUCACGAAGCCAUGCGGUGAAUCUGGGUUGUUGAGACUGUUGCGCGUCAUAUAAAUAAACCACGCCCACAUACAAACCCAGUCUGUAAACCAUGUUUUCGCCGAUUGAAGGCAGUUCUUUCCAACGUCUCUGGAUAGCAGCAGAGCAGCCACACCUGGCUCAGCACGCUACGGCGGACGACGGCCCACUGUUCGGCAAGCAGCGACUACCGAGCCCGGAAAGCCCUCCUAACCCGGACCGCUUUUCCUGGUGAGCGUAAACCAGCGCUUGUUGUUGUAACAUGAUACCUUCUACCUCUUCGGCUCCCAGCCCUCUUUCCUGCCCCACUUGUCAUAUGUUUAGUCAGGAUCCCGCCUCAUUUAAUGAGGACAAUGGUCGUUGUGUUAACUGUAGCCUGAUCUCAGACCUGUUAUCCAGGCUCGAACAGCUCGAACAGAGCUCAAUGGAAGCUAAACCAGCUAGCCAUGUUGUUGUCACUCGGAGCGCUAGCCGCGCUAGCAAAGCUGACUUAGCUAGCAUCCCACCGCCCUCUCAGCAGCCGAGGAAUCCCCAGGAUGAGUUUGUACCGGUGGGGAAAAAGCACAGAGCUAAACCUAAGCCCGCAGAGCGCCCGGAGCUCCCUGUACGGAACAGGUUUUCUCCCCUCAGUAACGCACCAACUGAACCGAAAACCCUGGUCAUCGGCUCCUCCGAGGUCAGACACGUAAAGCUAAAGGGAGCUACAGUUAGAUGUUACCCGGGAGCCAGAGUUGGUGACAUCGAAGGAAACCUCCGAAUGUUAGCCCAGAGUAAGGCGAGGUUCCGUCGGGUCGUAAUUCACGCAGGUGGCAACGACGCCCGACGAAGACAAUCAGAGAUUCUUAAACUAAACGUAGAAUCGGUGUGUAAACUGGCUAAAUCUGUGUCAGACACAGUAGUUUUCUCUGGUCCUCUCCCAAACGUGGUCAGUGAUGAAAUGUACAGCCGCUUUU